GACGAACGCUGGCGGCGUGCUUAACACAUGCAAGUCGAACGGAAAGGCCCUGCUUUUGUGGGGUGCUCGAGUGGCGAACGGGUGAGUAACACGUGAGUAACCUGCCCUUGACUUUGGGAUAACUUCAGGAAACUGGGGCUAAUACCGGAUAGGAGCUCCUGCUGCAUGGUGGGGGUUGGAAAGUUUCGGCCGUUGGGGAUGGACUCGCGGCUUAUCAGCUUGUUGGUGGGGUAGUGGCUUACCAAGGCUUUGACGGGUAGCCGGCCUGAGAGGGUGACCGGCCACAUUGGGACUGAGAUACGGCCCAGACUCCUACGGGAGGCAGCAGUGGGGAAUAUUGCACAAUGGGCGGAAGCCUGAUGCAGCAACGCCGCGUGCGUGAUGACGGCCUUCGGGUUGUAAACCGCUUUCGCCUGUGACGAAGCGUGAGUGACGGUAAUGGGUAAAGAAGCACCGGCUAACUACGUG
This 468-nucleotide ribosomal RNA is filed under the name uncultured bacterium. Its description in RNAcentral is "partial 16S ribosomal RNA". It matches the Rfam family "Bacterial small subunit ribosomal RNA", at positions 28 to 507 of the family's 1533-position model. The record is from RNAcentral.